This 67-nucleotide transfer RNA is filed under the name Dicrostonyx torquatus (Arctic lemming). RNAcentral's name for it is "tRNA-Pro". It matches the Rfam family "tRNA". From Rfam's summary of the family: Transfer RNA (tRNA) molecules are approximately 80 nucleotides in length. Their secondary structure includes four short double-helical elements and three loops (D, anti-codon, and T loops). Lineage: Eukaryota; Metazoa; Chordata; Mammalia; Rodentia; Cricetidae. The record is from RNAcentral.
CAAGAAGUAGUUUAAAAAGAAUAUCAGCUUUGGGUGUUGAUGGUGGGGGAUAAUCCUUCCUUCUUGA